UUUUUUUUUUUUUGCCUUUUUUGUUUUUUGCUCAUGCAUUAAAUCAACAGAGGAUUAUUUGCACAGGCAGAAAAUUAACAUACUAACGAGAGUGCUGUAUUUUUGGUUUUUUAGUCAUAUAGUAAACACUUGUAACAUGGGAAUGUUUUCAGUAACUAUGAAUUUGUUUCAAAGGCCUUUGGUACUUUUAAGGAGAGCAAUAUACAUUUGAAGUCACCUUAUUUUUAUUAAAUUAUAAAUCUUGCAAAAAGAAGUGGCUAUUGUGGCACAGUAAUUUUGUACUGAUAUCAAAUAUAUAGCUAUUAAGCUAUGGUUUUCUUUUCAACUCAUUCUUUUCAUCCUAAUUCAAAUUUGAUUUUAUUAGAUUGUAUUUGUCUAUGUAUACAAUUUCAAAAUGUUAUGAUUGGAUAAACUCAAAAAUAUAAGUAUUGAGUUGAUUCUGCUAUUCAGAAUUUUGGAAUAAAACACCUAUUAAUUAAUAGGGAUUCUGUUUUGGUUUGGUUGUGGUGGUUUUAUUUGUUUGUUUCAGUUCCAGGCAUAUUUUUAAAAUUGAAUUUAAUUCACCUGAAAAUAUUUCAUAGUAUGUGUUUAUGAUCCACAGUUAUCUACUAAGUACAAAAAGGUCACAUUUACACAACUUUUACAUUCUAAGCUAACUUGAGUAUAAAAAAAUGGGAAUCACAAGCAAGAAAGAAGAUCUAGUCACAAAUUAGACUGUGUCACAAGAAAACUUAUUUCCUACGAAAAAUUUUGUAUAUCGAAAAUAAGUAUUUCUGAUUUUAUAGCUGCCGAAUUUUUGUCCUUUGGUUAGGAAAAUUCUCAGGAGGGUGGUGUUUCUUUUCUUGUUGUAUUAUUAGACUAAUUUUACUUCAGUAUUACAUUCUUCUUGUUUAACAAUCAUACUGAUCUUUGUGAGUGGGUGACAGUAAAUAUUUUGUCUUACAACAAAGACAUACAUGUUUAUUUUACAUUGCUAGAAUACUUAGAAAUAAAUGUUGGUGCUUGUGAACCCUUUAGAAAAAACUCCGAACUACUGAGUUCCCUGGAUUGCUAGUAGAGAAUUUGUUAACCUAAAGAAAAUAAUAAAAAAGGACACC
Molecule: long non-coding RNA, 1097 nt
Filed under: Strigops habroptila (Kakapo)
Lineage: Eukaryota; Metazoa; Chordata; Aves; Psittaciformes; Psittacidae
Description: lncRNA (ENSSHBG00005011164.1)
Source: RNAcentral